This 104-nucleotide small nuclear RNA is filed under the name Sus scrofa (pig). Lineage: Eukaryota; Metazoa; Chordata; Mammalia; Artiodactyla; Suidae. The record is from RNAcentral.
GUGUUCACUUCUGUAGCACGUAUACUAAAAUUGGAAUAAUACAGAGAAGAUUAGCAAAUUUGUGAAGCAUUCCAUAUUUAAAAAGUAAAAUAAAAUAUUUCUUU